UUGACUGCCAUCGUGUGGUCAUGUUUAGGAAGUGCACCUUCCCCCAAACGUUGUUUAAAGCCGCAGAUUAUAAAUCUAUAUUCCUGCUGAGUGUGUGUUUAUGACCUGGCUGUUGAGUUGCUUUUAAACUUUCUACAUAAGCAGCAUUUCUGGCCUCUGUGAGUCCCAGGUGAUGAUCUUUUAUUUUCAGAUUCUUACUGAGGUGCUGUUUUCCACAUGCAGUGCUUGGCUGUGUUGGAGGCCACCAAGAAAGACUUCCUGGCUGUCAUGUGGAAGCUAAGUGGGCUGGGGUCAAAAGGGUUUCUGGCCAUGGUGCUUGUGCUGCAGUGAUCUUGUUCUCCAUCACACUCCAACACAGGUAGCCAUCUUCACCCUCUCCCAAGAGGUGAUGGUACGACUCUGAAUAAACACUCUAUUAUUAUAAAUAAAGUGUGACUGUGUCUUGUAGUCCACCCACCAACCUUUUUCUGUUCAGUGGUUUGACUUGUGCUACACAGAGGUGAGUCCAGUUAUGCUGCAAGAAGUGUAAGUAUGAUGGGGUUGACGAGUGGGAGGAGAGGUUCUUCCUGUGCAAGGUGCUGCUCUCACUUCUUUCAGCAUAGCUCCUGGUCUCAGAACAGGUUUAGUUCAUUGUUGCUGGUGUUGUGUAGAGGAUGUUAUAUUGUGAAAGUCACAACUAUCCCCGCUCAAGGUCUUGUGAAAUAUUUGACCUUAUUUGUGACUAUAUUCACCAUGAUACUUUCAGCGGUUACUACAUUAGUGUCCUUCAUUUUUUACUAUUUAAAGAUUGUGUAAAAGUUUAUUACAGGCUCAAUGAAUGUUCUUCCCCUUCACUAGAAGAUAAAGGCCCGGUUUCACAGACAGGGUUUACAUUAAGCCAGGAUUAGAUCUUCAAUAAAUUAGGACAUUUCAGUAGCUUUUAUAAACGUGUCUUUAGAAAAAAAUAUUUCUGGUGCACAUCCUGAGAUAAAACAAUGGCACUGACGUGUUUUAAGAUCCGUCCGUGCAAGUAGCUUUCAGUUAAAACAGCUCAAAGAUACAUUUUAGUCUGGGACUAGGCUUAGGCCUUGUCUGUGAAACCAGGGGGAAAAAGAAGGGUGUGCUUUAUUAUGCUCUCUGCCGAAUAUGACAGAAGAAAUGUGACUCACACCUGUAACUAUAAAAAGCAGGUAGAACUGCAGUUAGCAUGAAACCUCAAAUGUGUAGCUGGGCUGGAAAUUUAUUUUUGUAUGCAUGUAUAAUAUUUUUUCUCUUACAGAUGGACCAGCAAACAGAUUUAAAGGCUGUUGUGAAUGAUGGGUUACAGAAAUGUCUUCCUGUGUUUAUUAUUAUUUGAAGUUAUAUAUUCUGAUUUGUAAGCAAGAUUAUGAAGUCUCCUUUUGCUAAUCAUUUUACAGCAUUAUUAAAAAGUCCAUGUACACAAUGUU
Long non-coding RNA from Ictalurus punctatus (channel catfish), 1427 nucleotides. RefSeq lists it as uncharacterized. The transcript has 2 exons. The record is from RefSeq and is a predicted model, not a curated record. NCBI's taxonomy places the organism in Eukaryota, Metazoa, Chordata, Actinopteri, Siluriformes, Ictaluridae.